RNAcentral lists this ribosomal RNA (1250 nucleotides) under metagenome. Its description in RNAcentral is "bacterial LSU rRNA". It matches the Rfam family "Bacterial large subunit ribosomal RNA", at positions 1634 to 2876 of the family's 2925-position model. The record is from RNAcentral.
CGAUACGACCGUACCGCAAACCGACACUGGUGCGCGAGAUGAGUAUUCUAAGGCGCUUGAGAGAACUCAGGAGAAGGAACUCGGCAAAUUGACACCGUAACUUCGGAAGAAGGUGUGCCCUAUUAGUGUGUAGUGAACAACGAAGCAUGAAUGGGUUGCAAAAAAUCGGUGGCUGCGACUGUUUAUUAAAAACACAGCACUCUGCAAACACGAAAGUGGACGUAUAGGGUGUGACGCCUGCCCGGUGCUGGAAGAUUAAAUGAUGGGGUGCAAGCUCUUGAUUGAAGUCCCAGUAAACGGCGGCCGUAACUAUAACGGUCCUAAGGUAGCGAAAUUCCUUGUCGGGUAAGUUCCGACCUGCACGAAUGGCGUAACGAUGGCCACACUGUCUCCUCCUGAGACUCAGCGAAGUUGAAAUGUUUGUGAUGAUGCAAUCUCCCCGCGGAAAGACGGAAAGACCCCAUGAACCUUUACUGUAGCUUUGUAUUGGACUUUGAACAGAUCUGUGUAGGAUAGGUGGGAGGCUUUGAAGCAGGGUCGCUAGAUCUUGUGGAGCCAACGUUGAAAUACCACCCUGGUGUGUUUGAGGUUCUAACCUAGGUCCAUUAUCUGGAUCGGGGACAGUGCAUGGUAGGCAGUUUGACUGGGGCGGUCUCCUCCCAAAGCGUAACGGAGGAGUUCGAAGGUACGCUAGUUACGGUCGGACAUCGUGACGAUAGUGCAAUGGCAUAAGCGUGCUUAACUGCGAGACUGACAAGUCGAGCAGAUGCGAAAGCAGGACAUAGUGAUCCGGUGGUUCUGUAUGGAAGGGCCAUCGCUCAACGGAUAAAAGGUACUCUGGGGAUAACAGGCUGAUACCGCCCAAGAGUUCAUAUCGACGGCGGUGUUUGGCACCUCGAUGUCGGCUCAUCUCAUCCUGGGGCUGUAGCCGGUCCCAAGGGUAUGGCUGUUCGCCAUUUAAAGAGGUACGUGAGCUGGGUUUAAAACGUCGUGAGACAGUUUGGUCCCUAUCUUCCGUGGGCGCUGCAGAUUUGAGGAAGCCUGCUCCUAGUACGAGAGGACCGGAGUGGACACACCUCUGGUGUAUCGGUUGUCACGCCAGUGGCAUUGCCGAGUAGCUAAGUGUGGAAGAGAUAACCGCUGAAAGCAUCUAAGCGGGAAACUCGUUUCAAGAUGAGAUCUGCCGGGGCCUUGAGCCCCCUAAAGAGUCGUUCAAGACCAGGACGUUGAUAGGUCAGGUGUGGAAGCGG